UUUUUUCAAGAUGUUUUUUAAUAAUCCCUAUAUUAGGCAGUGCUGCUAUGGAUCUCGUUCCUGAGGAUAAGGAGGCUAUAAAUGGUAUAUUUCGUCAUUCCACUCUUAACGAGGCCUAUAAAUAUAUCUUGGUUCCUCGUUAUAAAGGUUUCCUACAUAUGAAAGAUAUUGUAAAUUAUCCUAACGCUUGGGAUAUAGUGAAAGCAGGAGUAGACGUUAUUACUUUGUAUUCUUCCCAUGGUCAUCCUAAUAAAGAAAAGUAGGUAGACCACCAGCUAUUCUAAGCUUACGGAGUAAUUAAAUUUUCUAAAUGCUGGGUUGCAGGAUGCGAAAAUGAGUUUUGCAAGCAGAUGAUCUUUUUAAAAUUAAGACAAUGGGUAGAAGCUCUGUCGGCUAUAGCUGCCAAUAGAAAUGUGUACCCGUAGUUAGGAAUUUGUUGAGAAUAAUGCAUUUAAACAAUUAUAUGACGUUUAAGUGAAGAAUAUUUUCUAUAAUGUACCAACAAAAAGAAAUCUACACUAGUCGAAUUUCAUCAUAUACUCGAUGAAUUUGACAGCGCUAUCACAUCCAAGAGUUAUUUUUCGGUUGGAUCAACCAGUUCUCUGAAAGAAAGAAUGAAAGAAAGAAAGAAAGAAUGAAUGAAUGAAUGAAUUAUUUUCGUAUAAAGUUUUUCUGCAUGGGAGCAAAACCGUCUCAUGCAAAGAAGUAUCGAUUCAAAAUUAUUAUUUCCAUAAAGCGCUGGAUUAGAUGCUUUUGAAGGCGUGAUUCCAAAACGUUACAAAAUACCUUUGCAACUCCAAAAAAGCAUUGCUCCUGUUACUUACACUUUUUUUAAUAAAGAAAUUUAGAAUCAAAUCUUAGUUUUUCAAUGACAUAAAAAAUUAUAAUAAUUGAUCAAGAACGAAUAUUGGACGGAGAAAAAAAAAUAAUUAGCCAAAAACUAUUAUUUACAAUCCAUUUCUGGAGUAACAUAUUGUUGCAAGAAAUUCUAGAUCACGUGCUAUAGCAUGAUCUAUCAAACAGAUAAAGAAAUGAGACAUUUUGUUAAGAAACUUUUUUUCUAUCGCUUUUUUACUAGGUACAGGAAGCAGCUAAUAAAGGGUGGACGAAAAAUAAUGUUCGUUCGAUAUUCCUUGAUGAAGAUCCAUUGGUUAUUUUAAGUUGGUCGCUUUAUCGCGUUUUACGCGUUUUAUUAAAUGAGGAAAGUCCGUACAUCAGAGAGCAACACAAAUGGGUAAUUCCCUUCCCCUGCAAAGUGAGGACUAGUGCAACAGAAAGAAAGUACAGUUUGGCUGUAGUGAAAUCAGGGAAACUCUGUGCGAUGAAAUGCCGUGUAUACCGACGUUAAAGAUCUGCUCGAUUGUAGUUGGGGGGUAGGCAGUUUGAGAUAGAUGGGAACAUUUAUCCGAGAUAAAUGAUAAAGGUUCCUCUAAAAAAAAGGGGUAUACAGAAUACGGC
Molecule: RNase P RNA, 1458 nt
Filed under: Candidatus Walczuchella monophlebidarum
Lineage: Bacteria; Pseudomonadati; Bacteroidota; Flavobacteriia; Flavobacteriales
Description: RNAseP
Rfam family: Bacterial RNase P class A (bases 1158-1458)
Source: RNAcentral